AAAGAGUUUGUGUACACCUGCGGAUCUUUCUUUCCCCCUUUUUUGGCACUUGAUGGAAUUGAACUGCAGAAACAAUUGAGUUUUUCCCAUACAGGAGUUUAGGAGAUUGAAGUUUUUGUGAUGGAGGGAGGAGAUUUUCCUGUUAGGAGAUGGGAGGACCUUGAUAAUGAUAUCUGGGUGAAGAUACUCCAGUUUUUUGACCUUUUUGAAUUGUCUGCUGGACUUGCUCAUGUUUGUAAUGUGUGGCAAUUGGCUCGUUGUGAUCAACUUCUCUGGGAGACACUGAACUUGUCGGUAGGAUGUCUCUGAAGCAAAAAAUGAAAAAAUGUUAGACUGUUGACCAGAAUCAAGUUACAGGUAUGAGAGAUAUGAUGGCACUUCCAUUUGGCAGUGAGGAGUUGUAGGUACUCUUUAUUAUUAAAGUUUGACAGCCAACACCUGCCAAUGCGUGGGGGAUUUUAUGGUCAUUUCCUCGUAUCGGAAUCUCACUCCUCAUCAAAGCUACACUAUCAUCCCACAGUUUUCACCCAAUUAUUUCACACACUGAAGUGAACCAACAAUCUAAAG
Solanum tuberosum (potato) is the source of this 567-nucleotide long non-coding RNA. RefSeq lists it as uncharacterized. The transcript is spliced from 3 exons. NCBI's taxonomy places the organism in Eukaryota, Viridiplantae, Streptophyta, Magnoliopsida, Solanales, Solanaceae. The record is from RefSeq and is a predicted model, not a curated record.